RNAcentral lists this ribosomal RNA (326 nucleotides) under uncultured bacterium. RNAcentral's name for it is "bacterial SSU rRNA". It matches the Rfam family "Bacterial small subunit ribosomal RNA", at positions 35 to 334 of the family's 1533-position model. The record is from RNAcentral.
GAUGAACGGCUGGCGGCGUGCCUAACACAUGCAAGUCGAACGAAGCGAUCGAGAUGAAGUUUUCGGAUGAAUUCGAGAUUGACUGAGUGGCGGACGGGUGAGUAACGCGUGGGUAACCUGCCUCAUACAGGGGGAUAACAGUUAGAAAUGACUGCUAAUACCGCAUAAGCGCACAGUACCGCAUGGUACAGUGUGAAAAACUCCGGUGGUAUGAGAUGGACCUGCGUCUGAUUAGCUAGUUGGGUGAGGUAACGGCCCACCAAGGCGACGAUCAGUAGCCGACCUGAGAGGGUGACCGGCCACAUUGGGACUGAGACACGGCCCAA